AAUCCUACCACCAUUGCAGUGGUAUGUGGGAAUGAUCUUGGGAGUCAGAGGGAAGAACCACAGCCAGGAGAAUGAUUGGAUAAGAGAUGGCUUGGCUAACAAAAAGAAGGAGUGAGGAGGGAAUGGAGAUUUUGCGGUAUUCUUCCUCUGCCACGCCCACCAAGCCACACCCACAGAACCGGUAAUAAAAAAUUUUGAAUUUCACAACUGGGUAAGGUUUUUUUCUCCAAUGGAAUUAAUAGAAAUCUGUAGGUCAAGAAAGUUCUAGAUAUGUACCACUAUCUCUUUUGCCCUCAACAAGUUACUAAUUGAUGGAUGGUGGUUCAUUUCAAGACUUGUGCCAUAUCUUUAAUGUAGGAGUCUGUGUGCUAAACUGUCCCUGUAUAAUUGCACCCUUCAGGACUUAGUUAUAAGCAAUAGAUGGUUGUGGCAUACAUUUAAAACCAGAAAAGACAGGUUUAUAAUGCAUGCUAGCUACUAGAGCUUCCAAUACCCCACAUUUCACCUUUAUUUUAGCCUUACAAAAAUAAAAUUGUUUCUUGGUCAAAUGGAAGGAAGAACUGUUCUAGAUGUCUGUAACCACAGCUUCCAUUUUUGUUUCUGUAGAAUGACUCUUGAGGAAGUACAUACAGAAUUUCAGCCUAAAUUGUCACCAAUCAGUGGCUUGAUUUUAUUCCUAGCAUUAAUAUUACAUCACAAUGUCUUGGGUUUUUGAUUAUCAUAUAUGAGCCAACCUAUACAUUGUAAGUGUACAUUCUAUUACUGAUUUAUUCAGUAAGUUAUAGAGAAACAUUUUUCUGGCUUUGUUUUAUGUGUGAAUGCAGUCAUUUCUUUUCACCUUAAUCUUAUUUCAUAGUAGGGAAGGAAUUCUUUUAAAUAAAGGGCAGAAAUAUAGCAACAUAAAUAUUUCAUUACAAUUAUUGUAAAGUAUCUUUUCCUUUCAUUUCUAAUAGCAGUUGAGACUAUAUCUCUGAUAUAUUUUUCUUAUAUAGAAAAACCAGGAAAUAUUACGCACUUUAAAGACAAUAUCUAUACUUAUGAAAACAUUACAGAAUGUAUUCACUUUUUUGUCUUUUUAUCACCUUGCUAAUUUUUGCAACAUUUAAUUACUGCAUUGCUACUUUUUCUCUAUCACCAUUUUGUUUUCUAUCAUCAUUAACACCACAUCUAUUAUUAUUCAAAGAAAUGAGGAGGAUAAUAGACGCCAUGACAAAAUGCAAAUGAAAAGCAUUUUACAGUAUGGAAUGGUGCUAUAUACAUGAUGUCUUGCUUGUUCUUUCAUUGGGUCGGAAGAUUAUUUUACAUUGAGUAUAAUGUAACACAAUGGGUGAAGUGUGUGUGUGUUUGUGUGUAUGUGUGUGUGUGUGCUAUUAGCAGACAAAUAUGAUGAAGAUGGCUUCAGAUAAUGAAAUAACAAGAUUUUCAAAGCUCUCAAUUUUUCAAAAAUGCAGUUCCACAUGAAAAUGAUUUGAGAUCUCUGCAGAAGAUUCAGGAUUUCUCUGGCUUCAUUAAAUAAAGAAAUUCAUCACAUCUAUAUUUUAACACUGGACAUAUUGAAGGAUAUUUUUGAACAAUGGAUUCAGAAAUUAAUUUCAAGAGCAUCUGUCUUUAUAGAUAGACUGUGUGCAAAAGAUGUUAUGAAAGAGGAACAAGUUAUAACUGACAAGACUGAGACUGAUCUGAAAAUGGGUUAUAAUAGGCCACAAGAAUGAUACAGAAAAAUUUGCUUCAUUGGACAUAUAAAGGAAGCUAGAUGACAUCUUAAUUAUUAAAAGAGAACUACAAAUAAGAAACCAAGUGGGUGACCUCGAUAAUUUCCCCAUGUUGGAUUUUAGAAAGAGGCUUGUUAAAGCUUUAAAGAAUAUGAUGAGAAGGACAAAGAAAAAAAUGUAAAGAAACCAAGCUGAAGGGACUAAAGAUUAAGUUGCUUAAAAGUAAAAGGAAGGAAUAUGAGGUUGGUUAGUUUGAU
This is a long non-coding RNA of Thamnophis elegans (Western terrestrial garter snake), 1969 nucleotides long. RefSeq lists it as uncharacterized. The record is from RefSeq and is a predicted model, not a curated record. The transcript is spliced from 2 exons. Lineage: Eukaryota; Metazoa; Chordata; Lepidosauria; Squamata; Natricidae.